GACGAACCGUGCGAACGUUGUUCGGAAUCACUGGGCUUAAAGGGCGUGUAGGCGGGCUGACAAGUCUGGGGUGAAAUGCCGCGGCUCAACCGUGGAACUGCCUUAGAUACUGUCGGCCUCGAGGGAGGUAGGGGCAUGCGGAACUGUAGGUGGAGCGGUGAAAUGCGUUGAUAUCUACAGGAACUCCGGUGGCGAAAGCGGCGUGCUGGACCUCUUCUGACGCUGAGGCGCGAAAGCUAGGGGAGCAAACAGG
Molecule: ribosomal RNA, 253 nt
Filed under: uncultured bacterium
Lineage: Bacteria
Description: partial 16S ribosomal RNA
Rfam family: Bacterial small subunit ribosomal RNA
Source: RNAcentral